GACGAACGCUGGCGGCGCGCCUAACACAUGCAAGUCGAACGGAGCUGAGAGAAGCUUGCUUUUCUUAGCUUAGUGGCGAACGGGUGAGUAACGCGUGAGUAACCUGCCCUGGAGUGGGGGACAACAGUUGGAAACGACUGCUAAUACCGCAUAAGCCCACGAUCCGGCAUCGGCUUGAGGGAAAAGGAUUUAUUCGCUUCAGGAUGGACUCGCGUCCACUUAGCUAGUUGGUGAGGUAACGGCCCACCAAGGCGACGAUGGGUAGCCGGACUGAGAGGUUGGACGGCGACAGCGGGACUGAGACACGGCCCAGACUCCUACGGGAGGCAGCAGUGGGGGAUAGUGCACAAUGGGGGAAACCCUGAUGCAGCGACGCCGCGUGGAGGAAGAAGGUUGUCGGAUUGUAAACUCCUGUUGUUAGGGACGAUAAUGACGGUACCUAAUAAGAAAGCACCGGCUAACUACGUG
This 468-nucleotide ribosomal RNA is filed under the name uncultured bacterium. RNAcentral's name for it is "partial 16S ribosomal RNA". It matches the Rfam family "Bacterial small subunit ribosomal RNA", at positions 28 to 507 of the family's 1533-position model. The record is from RNAcentral.